AUGAAUGGUGAGAGGAAGGUGCAUUGGAUAUCAUGGGAUAAGAUGUGUGCUCCAAAGAGGCAAGGAGGGCUUGGUUUUCGUGACCCUGAAGUGUUCAAUCAAGCUCUCUUGCCCAAGAAAGCGUGGAGAAUUUUAACUUCACCUCAUUCUCUGUGUGGUAGGGUGCUCAAAGCACGUUAUUUUGAGGACUUGAUUCUGUCGGCCACUUGUCCAUCUAAUGCUUCCUGCACUUUCCGUAGUAUUUUGCAUGGAAGGGACUUAUUUGUCGGUGUUCUGGGAAUGGGGGUAACCAGACUUGCCUGCCUGCGGCCCGCGGCGUGGCUCCAUCGACGGCCUGGUACGACCCAUCUUCAACACCAACAACUCAAGACCCUCGCGAGGGGCCAAGCCUCACGAGGAGGAUGA
This 405-nucleotide ribosomal RNA is filed under the name Triticum aestivum (bread wheat). RNAcentral describes it as "partial small subunit ribosomal RNA". Lineage: Eukaryota; Viridiplantae; Streptophyta; Magnoliopsida; Poales; Poaceae. The record is from RNAcentral.